RNAcentral lists this ribosomal RNA (928 nucleotides) under Dlhawksworthia flavoparmeliae. RNAcentral's name for it is "SSU rRNA". It matches the Rfam family "Eukaryotic small subunit ribosomal RNA", at positions 126 to 1061 of the family's 1831-position model. Lineage: Eukaryota; Fungi; Ascomycota; Dothideomycetes; Pleosporales; Phaeosphaeriaceae. The record is from RNAcentral.
AGUACCUUACUACUUGGAUAACCGUGGUAAUUCUAGAGCUAAUACAUGCUGAAAACCCCAACUUCGGGAGGGGUGUAUUUAUUAGAUAAAAAACCAACGCCCUUCGGGGCUUCUUGGUGAUUCAUGAUAACUUAACGGAUCGCAUGGCCUUGCGCCGGCGACGGUUCAUUCAAAUUUCUGCCCUAUCAACUUUCGAUGGUAAGGUAUUGGCUUACCAUGGUUUCAACGGGUAACGGGGAAUUAGGGUUCGAUUCCGGAGAGGGAGCCUGAGAAACGGCUACCACAUCCAAGGAAGGCAGCAGGCGCGCAAAUUAUCCAAUCCCGACACGGGGAGAUAGUGACAAUAAAUACUGAUACAGGGCUCUUUUGGGUCUUGUAAUUGGAAUGAGUACAAUUUAAACCUCUUAACGAGGAACAAUUGGAGGGCAAGUCUGGUGCCAGCAGCCGCGGUAAUUCCAGCUCCAAUAGCGUAUAUUAAAGUUGUUGCAGUUAAAAAGCUCGUAGUUGAACCUUGGGUCUGGCUGGCAGGUCCGCCUCACCGCGUGUACUUGUCCGGCCGGGCCUUCCUUCUGGAGAACCUCAUGCCCUUCACUGGGCGUGUUGGGGACCAGGACUUUUACUUUGAAAAAAUUAGAGUGUUCAAAGCAGGCCUUUGCUCGAAUACGUUAGCAUGGAAUAAUAAAAUAGGACGUGCGGUCCUAUUUUGUUGGUUUCUAGGACCGCCGUAAUGAUUAAUAGGGACAGUCNGGGGGCAUCAGUAUUCAAUUGUCAGAGGUGAAAUUCUUGNGAUUUAUUGAAGACUAACUACUGCGAAAGCAUUUGCCAAGGAUGNUUUUCAUUAAUCAGUGAACGAAAGUUAGGGGAUCGAAGACGAUCAGAUACCGUCGUAGUCUUAACCGUAAACUAUGCCGACUAGGGAUCGGGCGAU